This is a non-coding RNA of Pelobates cultripes (western spadefoot toad), 311 nucleotides long. The record is from the annotation of a GenBank genome assembly. Lineage: Eukaryota; Metazoa; Chordata; Amphibia; Anura; Pelobatidae.
GUUCCAGGAAAUGAGUAAUGAACUGGUUUAAAUGUUAUUUUAUUUAAAAUUACAUAAGAGUAGAUCUUAAUUACCUAGGAGAUCUAGCCAGCAUUGAAAGGGUUAUUCAGUUGAUCUAACUGUUAGCCAGGGUUUUAUGGCCCUUCGCUGUGAAAAGCUUCGCUUCCUAUGUCUGUAAGGAUACCUCAUAAAUCGUGUAAGUCUUGACAGAAAAUGCUGUUUAGCCAUUGAAACGUGUAUAGCCAUUCCUUUUGUAUUGCAUAUCAUUUGAUACUGGAUAUUCAUUGAUUAUUGUCACGCAUGUUACAUAU